AGUGAACGCUGGCGGUAGGCCUAACACAUGCAAGUCGAACGGCAGCACAGUAAGAGCUUGCUCUUACGGGUGGCGAGUGGCGGACGGGUGAGGAAUACAUCGUAAUCUACUUUUUCGUGGGGGAUAACGUAGGGAAACUUACGCUAAUACCGCAUACGACCUACGGGUGAAAGCAGGGGAUCUUCGGACCUUGCGCGAUUGAAUGAGCCGAUGUCGGAUUAGCUAGUUGGCGGGGUAAAGGCCCACCAAGGCGACGAUCCGUAGCUGGUCUGAGAGGAUGAUCAGCCACACUGGAACUGAGACACGGUCCAGACUCCUACGGGAGGCAGUAGUGGGGAAUAUUGGACAAUGGGCGCAGGCCUGAUCCAGCCAUACCGCGUGGGUGAAGAAGGCCUUCGGGUUGUAAAGCCCUUUUGUUGGGAAAGAAAAGCAGCAGGUUAAUACCCCGCUGUUCUGACGGUACCCAAAGAAUAAGCACCGGCUAACUUCGUG
Molecule: ribosomal RNA, 492 nt
Filed under: uncultured bacterium
Lineage: Bacteria
Description: partial 16S ribosomal RNA
Rfam family: Bacterial small subunit ribosomal RNA
Source: RNAcentral